UAGGGAAUCUUCGGCAAUGGGGGCAACCCUGACCGAGCAACGCCGCGUGAGUGAAGAAGGUUUUCGGAUCGUAAAGCUCUGUUGUAAGUCAAGAACGAGUGUGAGAGUGGAAAGUUCACACUGUGACGGUAGCUUACCAGAAAGGGACGGCUAACUACGUGCCAGCAGCCGCGGUAAUACGUAGGUCCCGAGCGUUGUCCGGAUUUAUUGGGCGUAAAGCGAGCGCAGGCGGUUUGAUAAGUCUGAAGUUAAAGGCUGUGGCUCAACCAUAGUUCGCUUUGGAAACUGUCAAACUUGGGUGCAGAAGGGGAGAGUGGAAUUCCAUGUGUAGCGGUGAAAUGCGUAGAUAUAUGGAGGAACACCGGUGGCGAAAGCGGCUCUCUGGUCUGUAACUGACGCUGAGGCUCGAAAGCGUGGGGAGCGAACAGGAUUAGAUACCCUGGUAGUCCACGCCGUAAACGAUGAGUGCUAGGUGUUGGAUCCUUUCCGGGAUUCAGUGCCGCAGCUAACGCAUUAAGCACUCCGCCUGGGGAGUACGACCGCAAGGUUG
RNAcentral lists this ribosomal RNA (550 nucleotides) under uncultured bacterium. RNAcentral describes it as "bacterial SSU rRNA". It matches the Rfam family "Bacterial small subunit ribosomal RNA", at positions 355 to 896 of the family's 1533-position model. The record is from RNAcentral.